RNAcentral lists this long non-coding RNA (1492 nucleotides) under Lonchura striata (white-rumped munia). RNAcentral's name for it is "domestica (Bengalese finch) lncRNA (ENSLSDG00000011777.1)". Lineage: Eukaryota; Metazoa; Chordata; Aves; Passeriformes; Estrildidae. The record is from RNAcentral.
GAAUGGUUGUAGAAUGUGAGGAAUGUUCUGGGGUGGAAAGUUGGGAAUGAUCAUUCUGGAAGGUGAGGAGUGAUCUGGUGUGGAAGGUGAGGAAGGGUCUGGUGUGGGAGGUUGGGAAUGAUCUGGUGUGGAAAGUUGGGAGUGGUUGUAGAAGGUGAGGAAUGAUCUGGUGUGGAAAGUUGGGAAUGAUCAUUCUGGAAGGUGAGGAAUGUUCUGGUGUGGAAGGUUGGGAAUGGUUGUAGAAGCUGAGGAAUUUUGUGGUGUGGAAGGUUGGGAUGGUUUUUGUACAAUGUGAAGAAUGUUCUGGUGUGGAAGGUGGGGAAUGAUCAUUCUGGAAGGUGAGGAGUGAUCUGGUGUGGAAGGUGAGGAAGGGUCUGGUGUGGAAGGUUGGGAAUGGUUGUAGAAUGUGAGGAAUGUUCUGGCAUGGAAAGUUGGGAAUGAUCAUUCUGGAAGGUGAGGAAUGUUCUGGUGUGGAAGGUUGGGAUGGUUGUUGUAGAAGGUGAGGAAUGUUCUGGGGUGGAAAGUUGGGAGUGGUCCUUGUAGAAAGUGAGGAAUGAUCUGAUGUGGAAGGUGAGGAAGGGUCUGGUGUGGAAGGUUGGGAAUGAUUAUUCUGGAAGGUGAGGAUUGUUCUGAUGUGGAAGAUGAAGAAUAGUCCAGUGUGGAAAGUGAGGAACGAUCCCUUGUGGAAGGUGGGGAAUGCUCCAGUGUGGAAGUUGAGGAGCAGUUUGAUGUGGAAGGUGAGGAAAGCUCCAAUGUGGAAGGUGAGGAGCAAUCCCACGUGGAAGAUGGGGAUGGAUUUUAUGUGAAAGGUGAGGAGCAAUCCCAUGUGGAAGUUGAGGAAAGCUCCAGUGUGGAGCAUGAGGAGCAAUCCCACGUGGAAGAUGGGGAUGGAUUUUAUUUGGAAGGUGAGGAACAAUCCCAUGUGGAAGUUGAGGAAAGCUCCAGGGUGGAGGGUGAGGAACAAUCCCAUGUGGAAGUUGAGGAAAGCUCCAGGGUGGAAGGUGAGGAAAGCUCCAGGGUGGAGGGUGAGGAGCAAUCCCAUGUGGAAGGUGAGGAGCAAUCCCCUGUGGAAGGUGGGGAUGGAUUUUAUUUGGAAGGUGAGGAACAAUCCCAUGUGGAAGGNGGAUGGAUUUUAUUUGGAAGGUGAGGAGCAAUCCCCUGUGGAAGGUGGGGAUGGAUUUUAUUUGGAAGGUGAGGAACAAUCCCAUGUGGAAGGUGGGGAGGCCCUCAGGCCCAUCCCAAAUCCCGCGGCGGGCGCCGAGGAGCGCCCCGGCUCCCGGCAAUUAAACGCUGCUAACGAGGGAAGCGCUCGUUCCGUCCCUCGCGAUUGCUCCUGGCGCAGCCUCUCGACGAGCGCCUUCCAACACGGUUCUGCAGCACUGGAAGGGGAAAAAAAAAUUAAAUAAAUCGAAUCAAAUCUGCAUAUUUUAAGGAGACAGAUUGCUGCCUUCAUCUGGCUCCCUGAUUAGAUGCCAGGGCGGCACCGUGCGAC